This 440-nucleotide ribosomal RNA is filed under the name uncultured bacterium. RNAcentral describes it as "partial 16S ribosomal RNA". It matches the Rfam family "Bacterial small subunit ribosomal RNA", at positions 338 to 795 of the family's 1533-position model. The record is from RNAcentral.
CCUACGGGAGGCAGCAGUGGGGAAUAUUGCACAAUGGGGGAAACCCUGAUGCAGCGACGCCGCGUGAGUGAAGAAGUAAUUCGUUAUGUAAAGCUCUAUCAGCAGGGAAGAAAAUGACGGUACCUGAGUAAGAAGCCCCGGCUAACUACGUGCCAGCAGCCGCGGUAAUAAGUAGGGGGCAAGCGUUAUCCGGAUUUACUGGGUGUAAAGGGAGCGUAGACGGCAGUGCAAGUCUGGAGUGAAAGGCGGGGGCUCAACCCCCGGACUGCUCUGGAAACUGUACGGCUGGAGUGCAGGAGAGGUAAGUGGAAUUCCUAGUGUAGCGGGGAAAUGCGUAGAUAUUAGGAGGAACACCAGUGGCGAAGGCGGCUUACUGGACUGUAACUGACGUUGAGGCUCGAAAGCGUGGGGAGCAAACAGGAUUAGAUACCCGAGUAGUC